GACGAACGCUGGCGGCGUGCUUAACACAUGCAAGUCGAACGAAGUGGCGAACGGGUGAGUAACGCGUAAUCAACCUGCCCUUCAGAGGGGGAGAACAGAGGGAACCGACUGCUAAUACCGAAUACUGAAGGAGGGGAUGGCGUCUGAUUAGCUCUUUGGCGGGGUAACGGCGAACCAAGGCGAUGAUCAGUAGCCAGUCUGAGAGGAUGAACGGCCACAUUGGGACGAAGACACGGCCCAGACUCCUACGGGAGGGCGCAGUGGGGAAUCUUCCGCAAUGGAGGAAAGUCUGACGGAGCAACGCCGCGUGAGUGAUGACGGCCUUCGGGUUGUAAAGCUCUGUUAAUCGGGACGCGGUACCGGCAUAGAAAGCCACGGCUAACUACGUGCCAGCAGCCGCGGUAAUUC
RNAcentral lists this ribosomal RNA (408 nucleotides) under uncultured bacterium. Its description in RNAcentral is "partial 16S ribosomal RNA". It matches the Rfam family "Bacterial small subunit ribosomal RNA", at positions 28 to 526 of the family's 1533-position model. The record is from RNAcentral.